AGCCCGUGACGAGGACACAACUUUAAAAUCUCCUUAAAAUAUGCACAUGCUUCAUAAAGUGUUUCACCUUCCUUUUGGGUAAAACUAUUAAUUUGAUUCUUUAAUUU
Lathyrus oleraceus (garden pea) is the source of this 107-nucleotide small nucleolar RNA. The record is from RefSeq and is a predicted model, not a curated record. NCBI's taxonomy places the organism in Eukaryota, Viridiplantae, Streptophyta, Magnoliopsida, Fabales, Fabaceae.